Paramuricea clavata is the source of this 474-nucleotide non-coding RNA. Lineage: Eukaryota; Metazoa; Cnidaria; Anthozoa; Malacalcyonacea; Plexauridae. The record is from the annotation of a GenBank genome assembly.
GAGGCCCUUGGACAUCGAAGAAAUAAUCUUUGUAAAUCAUUCAUUGACAAGUUGAAGUCUGUCGGACGUACACAAAACAACCUUCUGGCACAGAUUAUAAAUAAUCGCCCUCAAGUAAGCGAUAAAAAGUACAGUAGCCUACGUAUAAUGUAAGCUAGGUCACAACCAAUAUAUUACUAUGCCUCAUACGAAUACGCCAUAAACGUUAUUGCAAUUAGAUUUUCUUAAUGUAUAUACGUGUAUUAUCAGGUAAUUGUUACCAAACAUGUAGCAAGGUAAUCAAUAUUUCGAGUUUGGCAAGCGAAUGCAGGAGUAUCACGUUUCGACCGCGAAGUAAUAUAUAUGGCUUCGCUCAUUUAACGUAUCGGCUUGCUGAUCAGUUCAAAACAAAAAGCAGGGCUGUCAUCGGGUGUAACAAAAUAAUAAACAGAGGAAGGCAAGGUUAUACUAUUUUUCAAAAUAAAAUGAUUUCAA